Molecule: ribosomal RNA, 497 nt
Filed under: uncultured bacterium
Lineage: Bacteria
Description: partial 16S ribosomal RNA
Rfam family: Bacterial small subunit ribosomal RNA
Source: RNAcentral
GAUGAACGCUGGCGGCGUGCUUAACACAUGCCAGUCGAGCGAACAGACGAUGAGCUUGCUGCGCGGACGUGAGGCGCGGAGGGGAGAGAAACGCGUGUAUAAUCUACCUAUAUUACGGGGAUAAUCUGGGGAAACCGGAGCUAAUAGCGGAUGAUAUAUUGAACCGCAGGGUGGAAUAGUAAAAGACGGUUUUUCGGUCAGGUAUAGAUGGAUCGGCGCCUCAUUAGCUGGUUGGUGGGUUAACGGCCUACCAGGGGUACGAUGCGUAGCCGACGUGAGAGGGGGGUCGGCGACACUGGAACGGGGACGCGGUCCAGAGUACUACGGGAGGCAGCAGUAGGGUAGGUGCGGCAAUGGGGGGAAACAUGACGGAGCAGCGCCGCGUGAGUGAUGAAGGUCUUCGGAUCGUAAAGCUCUGUUUUUGGGGAUGAACAAAUGUGUAAGUAACUAUGGACGGCUUGACGGUACCUAGUCAGAAAGCCACGGCUAACUACGUG